CGUCUUGGUUAUUGAUGUUAGAUGCUUGCAUUUAACUGAUUUAACAUUGAGACGAGUGGCGAACUGGUGAGUAACACGUGGGUAACCUGCCCUUGAAGUAGGGGAUAACACUUGGAAACAGGUGCUAAUACCGUAUAACAACCAAAACCACCUGGUUUUGGUUUAAAAGAUGGCUUCGGCUAUCACUUUAGGAUGGACCCGCGGCGUAUUAGCUUGUUGGUAAGGUAACGGCCUACCAAGGCAAUGAUACGUAGCCGACCUGAGAGGGUAAUCGGCCACAUUGGGACUGAGACACGGCCCAAACUCCUACGGGAGGCAGCAGUAGGGAAUCUUCCACAAUGGACGAAAGUCUGAUGGAGCAACGCCGCGUGAGUGAUGAAGGGUUUCGGCUCGUAAAACUCUGUUGUUGGAGAAGAACAGGUGUGAGAGUAACUGUUCACAUCUUGACGGUAUCCGACCAGAAAGCCACGGCUAACUACGUGCCAGCAGCCGCGGUAAUACGUAGGUGGCAAGCGUUGUCCGGAUUUAUUGGGCGUAAAGCGAGCGCAGGCGGUUUCUUAGGUCUGAUGUGAAAGCCUUCGGCUUAACCGGAGAAGUGCAUCGGAAACCAGGAGACUUGAGUGCAGAAGAGGACAGUGGAACUCCAUGUGUAGCGGUGAAAUGCGUAGAUAUAUGGAAGAACACCAGUGGCGAAGGCGGCUGUCUGGUCUGUAACUGACGCUGAGGCUCGAAAGCAUGGGUAGCGAACAGGAUUAGAUACCCUGGUAGUCCAUGCCGUANACGAUGAGUGCUAAGUGUUGGAGGGUUUCCGCCCUUCAGUGCUGCAGCUAACGCAUUA
RNAcentral lists this ribosomal RNA (838 nucleotides) under uncultured bacterium. Its description in RNAcentral is "bacterial SSU rRNA". It matches the Rfam family "Bacterial small subunit ribosomal RNA", at positions 40 to 862 of the family's 1533-position model. The record is from RNAcentral.